CACAAGGACACUGAGACACGGGCCCUACUCCUACGGGAGGCAGCAGUGGGGAAUCUUGGACAAUGGGCGAAAGCCUGAUCCAGCGACGCCGCGUGAAGGAAGAAGUCCCUCGGGAUGUAAACUUCUGAACUAAUCGAAUAAAAGGGUAGUGGACACACUACAGAAGAAGGUAGGUUAGGAAAAGUCCCGGCUAACUACGUGCCAGCAGCCGCGGUAAGACGUAGGGGGCGAGCGUUGCCCGGAAUUACUGGGUGUAAAGGGGACGUAGGCGGGUGAUCAAGUCAUCUGUGAAAAGAUUGCUCAACGAUCGGCUUGCGGAUGAAACUGAUCAUCUUGGGCGUAGCAGAGGUAGACGGAAUUACCUGAGUAGGGGUGAAAUCCGCAGAUACAGGUAAGAACGCCGGUGAAGAAGUUGGUCUACUGGGCUACAGCUGACGCUGAGGUCCGAAAGCCAGGGGAGCAAACCGGAUUAGAUACCCGGGUAGUCCUGGCCCUAAACGAU
RNAcentral lists this ribosomal RNA (502 nucleotides) under Thermotogales bacterium enrichment culture clone HF.30.35.46.52.65. Its description in RNAcentral is "bacterial SSU rRNA". It matches the Rfam family "Bacterial small subunit ribosomal RNA", at positions 309 to 810 of the family's 1533-position model. The record is from RNAcentral. Lineage: Bacteria; Thermotogati; Thermotogota; Thermotogae; Thermotogales.